Molecule: long non-coding RNA, 1955 nt
Organism: Juglans microcarpa x Juglans regia
Lineage: Eukaryota; Viridiplantae; Streptophyta; Magnoliopsida; Fagales; Juglandaceae
Exons: 2
Source: RefSeq, a predicted model, not a curated record
CGUUUGCAGUACCGUUUGCUUAGCGCCUCAGAUGAAACUAACAGUGCUAUUUUCGACGUUUCACCUGCCGAGACAACGGACAGAACGAGAAGGUUGCGUUAGAUCUUAUGAUCAUGACGACGAGGAUCUUCAACAAUUUCAUCAGAAAAAGGAGAGCAAAAUCAGUACUGGCCAUAGAAAAUCAUCAAAAAAAUAUGGUGAAGCUGAGCAGCAUGAACCUGAUGCUGGUGCAUCAUCCACUACCAUAUCAAAAGCAUCGUAUCAGGUUACUUAAAAGGAAGUUUCUCCUCAUGAUGAUUCAGACCUGGAAAUUAUUCAUUAAUCAGUAUCGUGCUCGCUGGGAGUUGGAGAGCCAGAUCUGUCAUUGAUUCAGUCGAGGGAAGAUCAGGUAACAGAUGUAGGUUGUGCCCUCCUUCUCUUUAUACUUGUAUCUUGAUACAAUUUCUGGUAGGUUAGCACAUAUGAUAUGUAGACUUGAUGUAUAAUUAUAUUCUCAUUUGUUGCUGGGUAGGGGCAACGCAGGAACCUGGUGGUUUGGAAUUGAGGCAAUCUGGUCGAAGUAGUGAAAUAGUGCUUGAAGGAGAAUGGCGGCUUCCUUUCUCUGAGCCCUGUGAAAAUGCCCUUUCAAGGUCGGCUUCAGUAAAGACUGGCAUGAAGGAGGCAUCCUGCUACUGAGCCUUGUGAAAGUUCUGAUGCUCUUUCAAGGUUAGCUUCAGUAAAGACUGGCACGAAGGAGGCAUCCUGCGAAGCAGAGCAAACUGGUGAGUCAGGAAAAGUAUGUGCAUCUGCUGGUUCGACCUUGUUGGAUGGAUUUUCAGCUUCCAUUUUGUCUUUACACGAGGCAGAUGGGAUUUCAUCUGCUAAUCUUGCCAUGAAAAAAUGGAAGGGAGAAGGUUCAUCUUACCAAGAAAACUCCGCCAUGCCUUUUCCAUUUGGUGACUAUGAAAAAGACUCAGGCUGUUUUGGACAGUAGGACAGCCGCAGAGGGUUACAAGUUACAAUGAACUAUAUAUGCCAGACAAAUCUUGUAUGGUUGAGGAUAUUAGCCUUGAUGGACCCGGUGAAACUAAAUGUUCAGCUGGUGGACAUAUUGUGCCACCUGUUGUGGGUGUGAGCGCAAUCAGUCUGUCGCAGCUCAUGGAAAUGAUAAGGGGGCUUACUGAAGAAGAGUUUAGGUUUUUGCUCAAGUCAAGGGAAUCAGUUUCUAAUUCAGGUUUGAGAACUGUUAGUAUGAUUUUUGUAGAAAACGGCUCUACAGAUUUUGGAAGUUGAACCUUUGGUGAGAAAGUUUUAGUUGCUGGAAACGUUAGUCACUUUAUUAAUAUAUAUAUAUAUAUAUAUAUAAUACUCAUUUAGUUUCUCGGAUAUGAACUUUGAUGUGUUAAGUUUCAUAAGCUUGUCCAUUUCAGAUCAAUUGCUGUUUGAAAUGGCCUUCUCCCUCUCAAAAAGGGGGAAAAAGUAAAAACAAAGGAAUGCAUUAUGUAUUGAUAAUUGUCCAAAUCAACUUUAUAGGAAAUGAAGGGGAUCGUGCAAUUUAUAUUUCUUUGGUUCAGAUAUUGAUGAGGCAUUGGAAUAUAUGGUGGCCGCUACUCGGUAGUUUGCGUUAGUGACAAAUUAAGUAGUACCUUUUAUCACUGGUUUCCCAUUCAAAUGUGUUAGACAGUGAUAUUUGCUUUGUACUUCCAGGCCCACUUCAUGGACCACAAGUAUGCACUAGAACUAUUUGGUUUUAUUUACAUUAUGUGGAUGCUCCUUUGUGACAUUCGGUUCAUUUCGUUUAACUGUUAGUUCAUUGCUUUAAUUUUACUUUUGAUAGUUGUGAACGCUUAUAUCUUAUAUCCAAAUUCCUCUUUUUUUAAGUUGCAAUGCCCUUUGUAGAGCAAUUAUAUAUUUUUUUUUUCAAGGUUAGAUUACUCUUGAUGUAAACGAUCGAUUGUGGUGGGAUCCUUGCAGAU